UAUCAUCGAUCAUGUGAGCUGU
Molecule: microRNA, 22 nt
Filed under: Caenorhabditis briggsae
Lineage: Eukaryota; Metazoa; Nematoda; Chromadorea; Rhabditida; Rhabditidae
Description: cbr-miR-392
Gene: cbr-miR-392
Source: miRBase by way of RNAcentral